This 435-nucleotide ribosomal RNA is filed under the name uncultured Oscillospiraceae bacterium. RNAcentral's name for it is "partial 16S ribosomal RNA". It matches the Rfam family "Bacterial small subunit ribosomal RNA", at positions 341 to 792 of the family's 1533-position model. Lineage: Bacteria; Bacillati; Bacillota; Clostridia; Eubacteriales; Oscillospiraceae. The record is from RNAcentral.
ACGGAAGGCAGCAGUGGGGGAUAUUGCGCAAUGGGGGAAACCCUGACGCAGCGACGCCGCGUGAAGGAAGAAGGUCUUCGGAUCGUAAACUUAUGUCAACGGGGACGAGAAAGGACGGUACCCGAAGAGGAAGCCACGGCUAACUACGUGCCAGCAGCCGCGGUAAUACGUAGGUGGCGAGCGUUGUCCGGAUUUACUGGGUGUAAAGGGCGUGUAGGCGGGCUUGCAAGUUGGAUGUGAAAUGUCACGGCUUAACCGUGGAGCUGCAUCCAAAACUACAAGUCUUGAGUGCCGGAGAGGAAAGCGGAAUUCCUAGUGUAGCGGUGAAAUGCGUAGAUAUUAGGAGGAACACCGGUGGCGAAGGCGGCUUUCUGGACGGUAACUGACGCUGAGGCGCGAAAGCGUGGGGAGCAAACAGGAUUAGAUACCCUGGUA